This 454-nucleotide unclassified non-coding RNA is filed under the name Hevea brasiliensis (rubber tree). Lineage: Eukaryota; Viridiplantae; Streptophyta; Magnoliopsida; Malpighiales; Euphorbiaceae. The record is from RNAcentral.
AGAUGGUCUUCUUCUGCUCUGUGGAGGGAGGGAUGCCAAUAGUGUGCCUCUGGCAAGUGCUUAUGGACUUGCCAAACAUAGAGAUGGACGUUGGGAAUGGGCCAUUGCCCCUGGUGUGUCACCCUCUCCCAGAUAUCAACAUGCUGCAGUUUUUGUUAAUGCUCGGCUGCAUGUAUCUGGAGGGGCACUUGGUGGUGGACGCAUGGUGGAGGACUCAUCCAGUGUUGCGGUUCUUGAUACAGCUGCAGGAGUGUGGUGUGACACAAAAUCUGUUGUGACUAGUCCUAGGACUGGCAGAUUCAGUGCAGAUGCAGCUGGUGGAGAUGCUGCUGUUGAAUUGACCAGACGCUGUAGGCAUGCAGCUGCUGCUGUUGGGGACUUGAUAUUUAUCUAUGGUGGUCUACGUGGCGGUGUACUGUUGGAUGAUUUGCUUGUUGCUGAAGACUUGGCUGCU